AAUUUGCUCACCAAGGAUGAUUCUAAAAUGAAGUGAAAUGAGAAAGCGUCGUCCAAUUCCAAUAUUGGAUAAGUAUUGAAGAAAAUCCAAAUACCGUAGAAGACUGACGUGGCGGUUACUUGGUUAGCAACCUAGCCCAGUUGGAGGAGAAAUGCCCCCAAACUAAAACAAAUCUUAAAUAAACACCUAUUUUUAUCAUCUUCUCAUUCAUAUUAAUCUUCAAGACAACAACACCUCAUCCAUCUUUAGUUGAUUUCUUUGUCACCUCAUCUCUUUGUUUCAAUUCAAUCCUUACAGCCUUUUCUAUAUCUGCUGAGUGAUAUAUCAGCAGAUAUGACUAAAAGCAGCUUCAAGAUUGAACAUGAUUUUGAGAUAAGGCGUGCUGAGGCUACCAGAUUCAGGGGAAAAUACCCUGAUAGAAUUCCAGUAUAACCAUGGUGCUUAUUUCUUUUUACCAUCAUAUGUCAUGCGGACACAUGGAGCAAAGCAACAAUGUGAAACUGUUAGAACUCUAAGGAAGCAAUUAGAGCUUGUUUUUGAGGCCCUGGAUACACUAGGGAACACCAAAUAGAGGAUAAAUAGAAGGAUUCUUGGUGUAGUAGAUAGGUUAUAGGCUAAUGGAGGUCGUCUUACAGACUUGGUUGAUCGUGAAGAUGUGCAUACUUUGGUUUUCUGUUCCGGUGUUUUGGAUUGUCUGGCGGUUGAAUUGAAAGCAUCAAAGGAAUUCUCUAAGUUAUAUGCAGGCAUUGCAAUACUUUGGCUUCAUCUAAGCUUGAGCUAGCCCUCUGUUGUAUAUUGUUUCUUCUUCUUUUUUGAUCUUUUUCCUUUGAUUAAUGAGAGGUGAUGAUGAUUUGGCAUUCUUUUCUCACCAGGAUGAAUUUUGUUUUAGAAAUAGUAAUACUUUGUGAGUGUCUGUGUGUGUGUGUGUUUUUUUAUGUAUUAAAUUACAUAUUGACUCAAUAUUUAUGUACUAAAUUUAAAUUCA
This is a long non-coding RNA of Gossypium arboreum, 985 nucleotides long. RefSeq lists it as uncharacterized. NCBI's taxonomy places the organism in Eukaryota, Viridiplantae, Streptophyta, Magnoliopsida, Malvales, Malvaceae. The transcript is spliced from 6 exons. The record is from RefSeq and is a predicted model, not a curated record.